This 305-nucleotide ribosomal RNA is filed under the name uncultured bacterium. RNAcentral describes it as "bacterial SSU rRNA". It matches the Rfam family "Bacterial small subunit ribosomal RNA", at positions 28 to 334 of the family's 1533-position model. The record is from RNAcentral.
GACGAACGCUGGCGGCGUGCUUAACACAUGCAAGUCGAACGGGGUAAUUCCUUCGGGGAUUACUUAGUGGCGAACGGGUGAGUAACGCGUGGGGAACCUGCCUUUCAGUGGGGGACAACAGUUGGAAACGACUGCUAAUACCGCAUAACAUGUACGGACCGCAUGAUCUGUACAUCAAAGCUUUAUGUGCUGAAAGAUGGCCUCGCGUCUGAUUAGAUAGUUGGUGGGUAACGGCCCACCAAGUCGACGAUCAGUAGCCGGACUGAGAGGUUGAACGGCCACAUUGGGACUGAGAUACGGCCCAG